Molecule: ribosomal RNA, 300 nt
Filed under: uncultured Alcanivoracaceae bacterium
Lineage: Bacteria; Pseudomonadati; Pseudomonadota; Gammaproteobacteria; Oceanospirillales; Alcanivoracaceae
Description: bacterial SSU rRNA
Rfam family: Bacterial small subunit ribosomal RNA
Source: RNAcentral
UGCAUAGGAAUUUGCCUCGAGGUGGGGGAUAGCCCGGAGAAAUCCGGAUUAAUACCGCGUAACCUUUACGAAGCAAAGUGGGCCUCUUCUUGAAAGCUCACGCCUGGAGAUAAGCCUAUGUCGGAUUAGCUUGUUGGUAGGGUAAUGGCCUACCAAGGCAACGAUCCGUAGCUGGUCUGAGAGGAUGAUCAGCCACACUGGAACUGAGACACGGUCCAGACUCCUACGGGAGGCAGCAGUGGGGAAUAUUGCACAAUGGGCGCAAGCCUGAUGCAGCAAUGCCGCGUGUGUGAAGAAGGC